Molecule: unclassified non-coding RNA, 285 nt
Filed under: fungal sp.
Lineage: Eukaryota; Fungi
Description: partial internal transcribed spacer region
Rfam family: Eukaryotic small subunit ribosomal RNA (bases 1-46)
Source: RNAcentral
AAGUCGUAACAAGGUUUCCGUAGGUGAACCUGCGGAAGGAUCAUUAACACUAAUUAAUGAGCAUCCAAAACCUUUUUUUGGAUCAACCCAACCAUUUUGCGAACCAAUUUCCCUUUUUCUUUUAUCUAACCAUUUAAACUCUAUUUCUUUCUUUUGUGUCUGAUCUAUUUACCCCUUGGAGUUUUUGUUUGUUUUUUUCGAAAGAAAAACAACAACAACAACAACAACACUGGGACAAAAUAUCUAACGCAAAUACAACUCUUAACAACGGAUAUCUUGGCUCUC